RNAcentral lists this ribosomal RNA (253 nucleotides) under uncultured bacterium. RNAcentral describes it as "partial 16S ribosomal RNA". It matches the Rfam family "Bacterial small subunit ribosomal RNA", at positions 524 to 776 of the family's 1533-position model. The record is from RNAcentral.
GACGAACCGUGCGAACGUUGUUCGGAAUCACUGGGCUUAAAGGGCGCGUAGGCGGUCUGCCAAGUCCGGGGUGAAAGCCCCCAGCUUAACUGGGGAAGUGCCUUGGAUACUGGCGGACUCGAGCGAGGCAGGGGUUGUGGGAACUUCCGGUGGAGCGGUGAAAUGCGUUGAUAUCGGAAGGAACGCCGGUGGCGAAAGCGCACAACUGGUCCUCUUCUGACGCUGAGGCGCGAAAGCCAGGGGAGCAAACGGG